Molecule: ribosomal RNA, 911 nt
Filed under: human gut metagenome
Description: bacterial SSU rRNA
Rfam family: Bacterial small subunit ribosomal RNA
Source: RNAcentral
AGAGUUUGAUCCUGGCUCAGAUUGAACGCUGGCGGCAUGCUUUACACAUGCAAGUCGAACGGCAGCAUAGAGAGCUUGCUCUCUGAUGGCGAGUGGCGAACGGGUGAGUAAUACAUCGGAACGUGUCCGUUUGUGGGGGACAACCACCCGAAAGGGUGGCUAAUACCGCAUAAGACCUGAGGGUGAAAGCCGGGGACCGCAAGGCCUGGCGCGAACGGAGCGGCCGAUGACUGAUUAGCUGGUUGGCGGGGUAAAGGCCCACCAAGGCGACGAUCAGUAGCUGGUCUGAGAGGACGACCAGCCACACUGGAACUGAGACACGGUCCAGACUCCUACGGGAGGCAGCAGUGGGGAAUUUUGGACAAUGGGGGCAACCCUGAUCCAGCCAUGCCGCGUGCGGGAAGAAGGCCUUCGGGUUGUAAACCGCUUUUGUCAGGGACGAAAAGGUGCGGGUUAAGAGCUAGCACUGAUGACGGUACCUGAAGAAUAAGCACCGGCUAACUACGUGCCAGCAGCCGCGGUAAUACGUAGGGUGCGAGCGUUAAUCGGAAUUACUGGGCGUAAAGCGUGCGCAGGCGGUUGGGUAAGACAGAUGUGAAAUCCCCGGGCUUAACCUGGGAACUGCAUUUGUGACUGUCCGACUGGAGUAUGUCAGAGGGGGGUGGAAUUCCAAGUGUAGCAGUGAAAUGCGUAGAUAUUUGGAAGAACACCGAUGGCGAAGGCAGCCCCCUGGGGCAAAACUGACGCUCAUGCACGAAAGCGUGGGGAGCAAACAGGAUUAGAUACCCUGGUAGUCCACGCCCUAAACGAUGUCUACUGGUUGUUGGAGGGUAAAACCUUCAGUAACGAAGCUAACGCGUGAAGUAGACCGCCUGGGGAGUACGGUCGCAAGAUUAAAACUCAAAGGAAUU